RNA transcript from Lolium rigidum, 1175 nucleotides. It is a transcript of the gene named probable plastid-lipid-associated protein 13, chloroplastic, with no coding region annotated. The record is from RefSeq and is a predicted model, not a curated record. The transcript has 8 exons. Lineage: Eukaryota; Viridiplantae; Streptophyta; Magnoliopsida; Poales; Poaceae.
CUCCUCCCCCCUCCGGCAAAGUCGCCUCGUCCGGCAUGGCCGCCACCGCCGCAGCAGCGACGCUCGCCCCCGCCUCCCCUCCGCUGCUGCCCGCCCUCCGCGGCAGCCGGGUGCGCCUCACCGCACGCCGCGCCGCCGCAUGCCGCUGCAGGGCCACGGCGCAGACGUUCCAGGGGGGCCCCGCCGCCAGCUACGCCCGCGAGAUGGAGCGCCUCUCUGCCAAGGAGUCCCUCCUCCUCGCCUUCAGAGAUGCUGGAGGCUUCGAAUCCUUGGUCAGCGGCAAGACGACGGAGAUGCAGAAGAUCGACGUCAACGAGAGAAUUGUGGGGCUCGAACGCCUCAACCCCACUCCCCGACCCACAACAUCACCCUAUCUGGAAGGUCGAUGGAACUUUGAGUGGUUCGGUGAUAACAGUCCUGGAGCAUUUGCAGCCCGGAUUUUGUUUGAGAGGUCACCUACAAGUGUCGCACACUUUACGGGACUUGAUGUUGUGAUCAGGGAUGGUUACUCCAAACUUUCAUCGAAUAUCAAGUUGUUUAAUACAAUACAAAACAGAUUUGUACUGACUACUCAACUGUCAGUGGAGGGGCCUAUCAGGAUGAAAGAGGAAUACGUUGAGGGAUUUUUAGAGACCCCCAAAAUAAGUGAGGAAACACUACCUGAGCAACUGAAGGGCUUUCUUGGACAAACUGCAGGAGCUCUACAACAACUUCCUGCUCCUAUAAGGGAUGCUGUUUCGGAGGGGGUUAAGUUACCUCUUAACGGGAUGUUCCAGCGCUUAUUCAUGAUUUCUUACCUGGAUGAAGAAAUAUUGAUUAUCAGAGACGCUGCUGGAGCACCUGAUGUCCUUACCAAACUGGAAGGGCCGCAACCGAAUCUAAUGGAGAACACGCCAGAUGUAGUGGUUCCAGAAUAUCAGAGCUAGUGUCUGGGUACUAAGUGGAACAUUCUGAUUAACUUUUUCAGAUAUACCUUUUCUGAUCGAACAUUUUCCAGGCAACUGCUAUUCUGGAGCUGAGCAAUACUCUGGGCAUUAAGCACUGAGAUAAGAUGAAAAAAAGUUGAUACACAAAAAGAGCAGCAAAUGGUCGCCAUUGUUACUUUUGUUCGAUUUAAUUCCAUUACCCAGCUUGCAUCGGUGUAAAGGUGAAAUAAAACAAAUGACAUGUUGUUC